CACGGCGAUUGGCCGGCGCCCCGCCCCUGCGCGCUCCCAUUGGCGGAGGGAGUCGCCGCUCCCGCUGAGUGAUUCACCGUCGCCAGGUGCGACCUCGGCCCCCGGCUCCCCGCCCCCCGGCGCUUGGCGCCUUUCCAAGCCGAGCCGCCUCCGAUUGGCCCGCGGGCCGGUCGCGUCCGGGGACCAGUGCGCACCUUCUGCAGCUUUUGCUUUACCAUGAUUUCAUCUUAACUGUUCUUGCCAAGUGGAAAACUUCCUGAACAUGGUUUCAUUGAGUGAAAAGUCCACACCUUUCUGCAAACCGGAAUCAUCCCGCCCAACGUGGGGCUCAAACUCGCAACCCCAAGAUCAAGAGUUGUAGGCUCUACCGACUAAGCCAGCUGGGCGCCUCAAGGAAUAAAAUUUUAAGACAGCAAACUUAGGAAGUCAGAACUCUGGCAUGAAAAUAUUUGAAAGGUCUGGAAGGACAUGCAUCAAACUAUGCCCCGCACCAGAGGGAA
Molecule: long non-coding RNA, 500 nt
Organism: Neofelis nebulosa (Clouded leopard)
Lineage: Eukaryota; Metazoa; Chordata; Mammalia; Carnivora; Felidae
Exons: 3
Source: RefSeq, a predicted model, not a curated record